UGAGCAAUCUGCCCUUCUCUUCGGAAUAAGCGUUGGAAACGACGUCUAAUGCCGAAUACGACCUCCUUUCGCAUGAUCGGAGGUGGAAAGCUCCGGCGGAGAAGGAUGAGCUCGCGGCCUAUCAGCUAGUUGGUGUGGGUAAUGGCCCACCAAGGCGACGACGGGUAGCCGGCCUGAGAGGGUGACCGGCCACACUGGGACUGAGAUACGGCCCAGACCUCCGUACGGGGAGGNAGCG
This 238-nucleotide ribosomal RNA is filed under the name uncultured bacterium. RNAcentral's name for it is "partial 16S ribosomal RNA". It matches the Rfam family "Bacterial small subunit ribosomal RNA", at positions 118 to 353 of the family's 1533-position model. The record is from RNAcentral.